Molecule: long non-coding RNA, 131 nt
Organism: Herpailurus yagouaroundi (jaguarundi)
Lineage: Eukaryota; Metazoa; Chordata; Mammalia; Carnivora; Felidae
Exons: 3
Source: RefSeq, a predicted model, not a curated record
UCUGGAGUCUUGGAAGCUUGACUACCCUACGUUCUCCUACAAAUGGACCUUGAGAGCUUGUUUGGAGGUUCUAGCAGGGGAGUGCAGCUACUCGUAUACCCUUGACCAAAGAACGGAAGAGCACACGCCUG